UACGGAAGGUAGCAGUGGGGAAUAUUGCACAAUGGGCGCAAGCCUGAUGCAGCCAUGCCGCGUGUAUGAAAAAGGCCUUCGGGUUGUAAAGUACUUUCAGUCGUGAGGAAGGUGUUAAGGUUAAUAACCUUAGCAAUUGACGUUAGCGACAGAAGAAGCACCGGCUAACUCCGUGCCAGCAGCCGCGGUAAUACGGAGGGUGCGAGCGUUAAUCGGAAUUACUGGGCGUAAAGGGCACGCAGGCGGUUAAUUAAGUUGGAUGUGAAAUCCCCGGGCUUAACCUGGGAAUGGCAUUCAAGACUGGUUAGCUAGAGUCUUGUAGAGGGGGUAGAAUUCCAUGUGUAGCGGUGAAAUGCGUAGAGAUGUGGAGGAAUACCGGUGGCGAAGGCGGCCCCUGGACAAAGACUGACGCUCAUGUGCGAAAGCGUGGGGAGCAAACAGGGAUUAGAUACC
Molecule: ribosomal RNA, 453 nt
Filed under: uncultured bacterium
Lineage: Bacteria
Description: bacterial SSU rRNA
Rfam family: Bacterial small subunit ribosomal RNA
Source: RNAcentral